UCCCCGGUAGUUUAUGUUGGUAAAACGCCUGACUCUGACUCAGGAGUGCUUGGAUCGUCACCAGGCUGGGGAGC
RNAcentral lists this transfer RNA (74 nucleotides) under Microbacterium phage Zooman. RNAcentral's name for it is "tRNA-Gln". It matches the Rfam family "tRNA". From Rfam's summary of the family: Transfer RNA (tRNA) molecules are approximately 80 nucleotides in length. Their secondary structure includes four short double-helical elements and three loops (D, anti-codon, and T loops). The record is from RNAcentral. Lineage: Duplodnaviria; Heunggongvirae; Uroviricota; Caudoviricetes.